RNAcentral lists this ribosomal RNA (497 nucleotides) under uncultured bacterium. RNAcentral describes it as "partial 16S ribosomal RNA". It matches the Rfam family "Bacterial small subunit ribosomal RNA", at positions 28 to 507 of the family's 1533-position model. The record is from RNAcentral.
GAUGAACGCUGGCGGCGUGCCUAAUACAUGCCAGUCGAGCGAACAGACGAGGAGCUUGCUCCUCUGACGUUAGCGGCGGACGGGUGAGUAACACGUGGAUAACCUACCUAUAAGACUGGGAUAACUUCGGGAAACCGGAGCUAAUACCGGAUAAUAUAUUGAACCGCAUGGUUCAAUAGUGAAAGACGGUUUUGCUGUCACUUAUAGAUGGAUCCGCGCCGCAUUAGCUAGUUGGUAAGGUAACGGCUUACCAAGGCAACGAUGCGUAGCCGACCUGAGAGGGUGAUCGGCCACACUGGAACUGAGACACGGUCCAGACUCCUACGGGAGCCAGCAGUAGGGAAUCUUCCGCAAUGGGCGAAAGCCUGACGGAGCAACGCCGCGUGAGUGAUGAAGGUCUUCGGAUCGUAAAACUCUGUUAUUAGGGAAGAACAAAUGUGUAAGUAACUAUGCACGUCUUGACGGUACCUAAUCAGAAAGCCACGGCUAACUACGUG